Molecule: long non-coding RNA, 558 nt
Filed under: Capra hircus (goat)
Lineage: Eukaryota; Metazoa; Chordata; Mammalia; Artiodactyla; Bovidae
Description: lncRNA (ENSCHIG00000007714.1)
Source: RNAcentral
ACAGAAUUAAUCAACUACAGAUUGGAAAUGAUAAUAUUAAUUGAAAAAACUAAUUCUGGAAAGUUCCAAAAUGCUGUGAAUUUGCUGUGCUCUGGCAACUAUUUAUAACAUUUAUAUUGUAUUUCACAACAUUUACAUUGUAUUAGGUAUUACAAGUAGUCAAAGGAAAAACUGGACUCCAAGAAGAAGAAUGACUUCCAUGGAGUUGAACGAACUGCUCAAGCAUGGGAGUUAAAAUUUCACUGAAAUCUCUCUGGACUGCAUCAAGUCAUCCCUUUGCCUGUGAUCAGCUACAGUUUAUUUCAGCUUGCUGGAGCCUUUGCUUCCCAGUGACCAGUGAGGAAGUCUUGAAGAAUAGAGCCAUAAAGAAAGCAAAGCUUGGAGAUGUUGGAUUUGAAGUGAGUGUUUCCUUACAGCUUCUGGUUCUAAACACUAAUUUCUUUUCUGAGUUGUAGAGUAUUUCCACCUCUGGAAGCAAUCAGAUCAAUAAAUGCUUUUUUUUAAAAUUAUCUUUUAUAUAACCUAUCAAAAAUGCCUUUUAAAAAUAUAUAAUAGUUU